CCCUUCCUCCUCGCUCCUUCCCGGCUGCCAGGCCCCUCCGGAGCCCCUUUGUGAGGUAAUUGCAUUUCUCCCCUUGUUAGCUUGCAAUGAAAAUGUCAUCUCUUCCAGGCCACCGCCAGGGAGGGGCCGAGGCCCCAUUCAGAGGCAGGGCCCGAGCUGUGAAGCUAUUCAGGCCCGCCGCCGGCCCGUGGGGCAGCUGCCGCCCGCCCGUCUUCCCAGAAAACGCCCCGCCCUCUGCGCCGCAGCGGCCCCGACCGGGCAGGCGACCGGUGGCCGGAAUCCGAGGCCCGCUGGAUUGCUGUAGCCAUACGGGAGGGGACCGGGAGAGAAUGGUUUCAUCAAUGCCUGCAUUUUAGACACUGACUCAGGACUCCUCCAACAGGUACAGAGGAAACUGCCCAGGCCCUGGACCCCAUCAGAUCCUGUGCCCUGUGGUCUCCUUGUUCAUCUGCCAGGUCACUCAGCCCCAGCCACGCUGGCCACCCCAGGGCCUCUGCACUCGCUGUUCUGUCUGCCAAGGACCCUCUUCUCCCAGAUACCUGCCCGGCUCGCACCCUCGCUUCCUUCAGGGUUUAACUCUGAAUCCACCUUCAAAAAACCGCCAUCCUCCACACUGCUGCUUUGCACACUGUUUCCUCCUGAGUUCUCUUGUCAGUUUCCCUCAUGGUAAUGUUACCUUCCGGUGGGCAGAGACUUCUUAGAGUUUUUUUUACCUCUGGAACCUAGAACUGUGUCUGGCGCACAGUAGGUUCUCAACCAGUAUUUGCCGAAUGAACAAAUGGGUGAAUGGAUGCAGGUUGGGCUUCCACAUCUGAACACGGACAAGUUCAGGUUCC
Oryctolagus cuniculus (rabbit) is the source of this 836-nucleotide non-coding RNA. The record is from RefSeq and is a predicted model, not a curated record. Lineage: Eukaryota; Metazoa; Chordata; Mammalia; Lagomorpha; Leporidae.